GGGUUGUGAGGUUAAGCGACUAAGCGUACACGGUGGAUGCCCUGGCAGUCAGAGGCGAUGAAGGACGUGCUAAUCUGCGAUAAGCGUCGGUAAGGUGAUAUGAACCGUUAUAACCGGCGAUUUCCGAAUGGGGAAACCCAGUGUGUUUCGACACACUAUCAUUAACUGAAUCCAUAGGUUAAUGAGGCGAACCGGGGGAACUGAAACAUCUAAGUACCCCGAGGAAAAGAAAUCAACCGAGAUUCCCCCAGUAGCGGCGAGCGAACGGGGAGCAGCCCAGAGCCUGAAUCAGUGUGUGUGUUAGUGGAAGCGUCUGGAAAGGCGCGCGAUACAGGGUGACAGCCCCGUACACAAAAAUGCACAUGCUGUGAGCUCGAUGAGUAGGGCGGGACACGUGGUAUCCUGUCUGAAUAUGGGGGGACCAUCCUCCAAGGCUAAAUACUCCUGACUGACCGAUAGUGAACCAGUACCGUGAGGGAAAGGCGAAAAGAACCCCGGCGAGGGGAGUGAAAAAGAACCUGAAACCGUGUACGUACAAGCAGUGGGAGCACGCUUAGGCGUGUGACUGCGUACCUUUUGUAUAAUGGGUCAGCGACUUAUAUUCUGUAGCAAGGUUAACCGAAUAGGGGAGCCGAAGGGAAACCGAGUCUUAACUGGGCGUUAAGUUGCAGGGUAUAGACCCGAAACCCGGUGAUCUAGCCAUGGGCAGGUUGAAGGUUGGGUAACACUAACUGGAGGACCGAACCGACUAAUGUUGAAAAAUUAGCGGAUGACUUGUGGCUGGGGGUGAAAGGCCAAUCAAACCGGGAGAUAGCUGGUUCUCCCCGAAAGCUAUUUAGGUAGCGCCUCGUGAAUUCAUCUCCGGGGGUAGAGCACUGUUUCGGCAAGGGGGUCAUCCCGACUUACCAACCCGAUGCAAACUGCGAAUACCGGAGAAUGUUAUCACGGGAGACACACGGCGGGUGCUAACGUCCGUCGUGAAGAGGGAAACAACCCAGACCGCCAGCUAAGGUCCCAAAGUCAUGGUUAAGUGGGAAACGAUGUGGGAAGGCCCAGACAGCCAGGAUGUUGGCUUAGAAGCAGCCAUCAUUUAAAGAAAGCGUAAUAGCUCACUGGUCGAGUCGGCCUGCGCGGAAGAUGUAACGGGGCUAAACCAUGCACCGAAGCUGCGGCAGCGACGCUUAUGCGUUGUUGGGUAGGGGAGCGUUCUGUAAGCCUGCGAAGGUGUGCUGUGAGGCAUGCUGGAGGUAUCAGAAGUGCGAAUGCUGACAUAAGUAACGAUAAAGCGGGUGAAAAGCCCGCUCGCCGGAAGACCAAGGGUUCCUGUCCAACGUUAAUCGGGGCAGGGUGAGUCGACCCCUAAGGCGAGGCCGAAAGGCGUAGUCGAUGGGAAACAGGUUAAUAUUCCUGUACUUGGUGUUACUGCGAAGGGGGGACGGAGAAGGCUAUGUUGGCCGGGCGACGGUUGUCCCGGUUUAAGCGUGUAGGCUGGUUUUCCAGGCAAAUCCGGAAAAUCAAGGCUGAGGCGUGAUGACGAGGCACUACGGUGCUGAAGCAACAAAUGCCCUGCUUCCAGGAAAAGCCUCUAAGCAUCAGGUAACAUCAAAUCGUACCCCAAACCGACACAGGUGGUCAGGUAGAGAAUACCAAGGCGCUUGAGAGAACUCGGGUGAAGGAACUAGGCAAAAUGGUGCCGUAACUUCGGGAGAAGGCACGCUGAUAUGUAGGUGAGGUCCCUCGCGGAUGGAGCUGAAAUCAGUCGAAGAUACCAGCUGGCUGCAACUGUUUAUUAAAAACACAGCACUGUGCAAACACGAAAGUGGACGUAUACGGUGUGACGCCUGCCCGGUGCCGGAAGGUUAAUUGAUGGGGUUAGCGCAAGCGAAGCUCUUGAUCGAAGCCCCGGUAAACGGCGGCCGUAACUAUAACGGUCCUAAGGUAGCGAAAUUCCUUGUCGGGUAAGUUCCGACCUGCACGAAUGGCGUAAUGAUGGCCAGGCUGUCUCCACCCGAGACUCAGUGAAAUUGAACUCGCUGUGAAGAUGCAGUGUACCCGCGGCAAGACGGAAAGACCCCGUGAACCUUUACUAUAGCUUGACACUGAACAUUGAGCCUUGAUGUGUAGGAUAGGUGGGAGGCUUUGAAGUGUGGACGCCAGUCUGCAUGGAGCCGACCUUGAAAUACCACCCUUUAAUGUUUGAUGUUCUAACGUUGACCCGUAAUCCGGGUUGCGGACAGUGUCUGGUGGGUAGUUUGACUGGGGCGGUCUCCUCCUAAAGAGUAACGGAGGAGCACGAAGGUUGGCUAAUCCUGGUCGGACAUCAGGAGGUUAGUGCAAUGGCAUAAGCCAGCUUGACUGCGAGCGUGACGGCGCGAGCAGGUGCGAAAGCAGGUCAUAGUGAUCCGGUGGUUCUGAAUGGAAGGGCCAUCGCUCAACGGAUAAAAGGUACUCCGGGGAUAACAGGCUGAUACCGCCCAAGAGUUCAUAUCGACGGCGGUGUUUGGCACCUCGAUGUCGGCUCAUCACAUCCUGGGGCUGAAGUAGGUCCCAAGGGUAUGGCUGUUCGCCAUUUAAAGUGGUACGCGAGCUGGGUUUAGAACGUCGUGAGACAGUUCGGUCCCUAUCUGCCGUGGGCGCUGGAGAACUGAGGGGGCUGCUCCUAGUACGAGAGGACCGGAGUGGACGCAUCACUGGUGUUCGGGUUGUCAUGCCAAUGGCACUGCCCGGUAGCUAAAUGCGGAAGAGAUAAGUGCUGAAAGCAUCUAAGCACGAAACUUGCCCCGAGAUGAGUUCUCCCUGACUCCUUGAGAGUCCUGAAGGAACGUUGAAGACGACGACGUUGAUAGGCCGGGUGUGUAAGCGCAGCGAUGCGUUGAGCUAACCGGUACUAAUGAACCGUGAGGCUUAACCUUACAACGCCGAAGGUGUUU
This 2930-nucleotide ribosomal RNA is filed under the name Escherichia coli. Its description in RNAcentral is "23S ribosomal RNA". It matches the Rfam family "Bacterial large subunit ribosomal RNA". Lineage: Bacteria; Pseudomonadati; Pseudomonadota; Gammaproteobacteria; Enterobacterales; Enterobacteriaceae. The record is from RNAcentral.